RNAcentral lists this ribosomal RNA (272 nucleotides) under uncultured bacterium. Its description in RNAcentral is "partial 16S ribosomal RNA". It matches the Rfam family "Bacterial small subunit ribosomal RNA", at positions 796 to 1041 of the family's 1533-position model. The record is from RNAcentral.
CACGCCCUAAACUAUCUCCGCUAAUUGUCGGGACUGGCUUAGUUUUUUCUUCGGAAAGGAUUGAGCAGUUUCGGUGAUGUAGUUAACGCGUUAAGCGGAGCGCCUGGGGAGUACGGCCGCAAGGCUAAAACUCAAAGGAAUUGACGGGGACCCGCACAAGCAGUGGAGCGCUUGGUUUAAUUCGAUGCUAAGCGAAGAACCUUACCAGGGCUUGAACUAUAGCUGCAUCUUUGGUGAAAGCCAGAGAGCCUUCGAGGGUGCUAUAGAGGUGC